UUUUCUUCACCAUCUAAAUACUAUGCAACAAUAGUACCCAAAUUCUCAAUAGCAAUACUGCACUUGAUCAACUUUAGCUUUUUUACCGCAUUCCAAGAAAAUUAAAGAUUAAAAACUUGUCUUUUUCACUUGUUUCACAGAAACAGAUAAAUGGGUGGAAAAAAUUAUUGACUUGGCAAUAAGAAAGGACAAGAACUGAAGAACAUAUACCCCUAUUUAAUCCGUUAAGAAAGCAGAGGGAAUUCAGAGAGACGGCUCAAAGACCUAGUAAAUUUUGCGCCUUUAUAGCUGUCCAAAAUGAAGACUAAGCUACAAGAUGGAAACCA
This 326-nucleotide long non-coding RNA is filed under the name Nicotiana benthamiana. RNAcentral describes it as "long non-coding RNA (NBEN_LNC035077)". Lineage: Eukaryota; Viridiplantae; Streptophyta; Magnoliopsida; Solanales; Solanaceae. The record is from RNAcentral.